UGGGGGAUAUUGCACAAUGGGGGGAACCCUGAUGCAGCGACGCCGCGUGGGUGAAGGAGCGUUUCGGCGCGUAAAGCCCUAUCGGCAGGGAAGAAAAAGAGCUGAAGCUCUUGGGACGGUACCUGACUAAGAAGCCCCGGCUAACUACGUGCCAGCAGCCGCGGUAAUACGUAGGGGGCAAGCGUUAUCCGGAUUUACUGGGUGUAAAGGGAGCGUAGACGGCGCGGCAAGUCUGGAGUGAAAGCCCGGGGCCCAACCCCGGGACUGCUCUGGAAACUGCCGUGCUGGAGUGCGGGAGGGGCAGGCGGAAUUCCUGGUGUAGCGGUGAAAUGCGUAGAUAUCAGGAGGAACACCGGCGGCGAAGGCGGCCUGCUGGACCGUGACUGACGUUGAGGCUCGAAAGCGUGGGGAGCAAACAGG
Molecule: ribosomal RNA, 420 nt
Filed under: uncultured bacterium
Lineage: Bacteria
Description: bacterial SSU rRNA
Rfam family: Bacterial small subunit ribosomal RNA
Source: RNAcentral